Adelges cooleyi (spruce gall adelgid) is the source of this 227-nucleotide long non-coding RNA. RefSeq lists it as uncharacterized. NCBI's taxonomy places the organism in Eukaryota, Metazoa, Arthropoda, Insecta, Hemiptera, Adelgidae. The transcript has 3 exons. The record is from RefSeq and is a predicted model, not a curated record.
CGAAAGCACAGUCAUCAGUGUAUGUAAAUAUCUUAACAUUUAUCUGGUGCCAAACGACAUGAAACAGUCCUAUGUGUUACAGUUGGAACUAUUUUUACUUCAAUUGAACCAGCAUAAGGUAUGUUUUUCAAUUUUUGGAAUUGUGGAUUUACGACGAUCUACAAUAACAAAAGUGAUUGGGACUACCAUUUCAUAUUUCCUGAUUUUCAUUCAAUUACAAAACACGU